Molecule: long non-coding RNA, 2582 nt
Filed under: Panax ginseng (ginseng)
Lineage: Eukaryota; Viridiplantae; Streptophyta; Magnoliopsida; Apiales; Araliaceae
Description: long non-coding RNA (PGIN_LNC018744)
Source: RNAcentral
AAAUUUUGUUAUAGAACUUGUGAUCCCUCCAAAUAUUAGUUGCAAAUAUAUAAAGAGAUGUCUAAUAUAUAUUAUCAGAGUUUCUUUGUCCUCGCCAUAUUUCUGGUCCAUGAACUAGUGCUCUAGCUUGUCAAAAUCCAAUGAAAUGUGCCAAACUUUUACACUAAAUCUAAUUUGAUUUAGCUGUUAAAAAAUGACCCAACAACAAAAAAUCAUCCAUUUGCAGCCCUGCAAAACAUUUAAUACUAAACUGUUACAUAUCCUCUAUUUGUUCAUGAACACAUUGACCAAACAGUAUCUCUUUCUCUUUGUUAGUAUUGUUUUAGACAUUGAACGCACUGCAUUUAUUAAAUUCUUUCUUCCUUAUAUGUUUUUCUAUAAUAACAGGGGGAAGAAUGUGGAGAAAGCAACUUUAAAACCAUAUCCUUCGCUACAACAAAAGAACAAGAACCCCACUCAUAAUACAUCCAUCCCCUCAAAAUCCCAUUUUUUUUGGUUAAGUGCUUUGAUUAAGCUAGAGAGAUCAGAAUGUUUUUAAGACGAAUAGUGUGUUGCCCCACAGGGUACAAUUGAUGAACAAAGAAGAUUUAUGAGAGUAAUAUCAGUAGAAAAAAAAAGAGAAAAAGGGUACCCCAUCAAAUCAUUUAAUAUUAAGCUGCCUCAUUCCAUGGCUAUAACAAGUUAAAGACCCAUCAAUUUAAUAACUAAUGGUUGUAGUCCCCCAUGUAGUCAUGUUUGAACAAAAAUUAGUCAAUUCAUCAUUAAAUAGUUGAAUCAGAGAUCCCCAACACCUCACAUGGCUAUCAUAGAGUGACAUAAAUCGGAGAUGUUUUUACGCAUGUGAAUCAAUCUAAAGAUUUUCAGAUAACUUUAGGUGAAUCAAAUUACAAGGGUCAAAGAUUUAGUAAGAUUGAUGUCUCACUUGAUUAAAUAAUUCUAAUCCUUUGCUCAAACUCCAAGAUUAAGUACAGAAAAUUAUGUAUUUUUUAUGAUUUGAAGCUACUCUGUCAGUCUCUGUUUUCCUCCUUGUCCUAGAUUUAAGCCUGUGUGCCAAACUAAUGAGUCUACCGCUGUUUGUUUGCCUCUAUAUAACCCCUCCCAUCUCAAAAUGAAAGGUUCAUUUAAAAUGUUCCUACCAAAUGUCGUAAUUACAUUUAAGAACAUAAAAACAUUCAAAUAUCUCCUAUGUUAGUUGGGACUUGGGAGUGGCACCUUCCUAGUAAGUGUAGAAUUAGUUGAUGUCAGCAGGCUCCUUUAGUCAUGAUAAUUGUCAGUUUAACAGUACUUAUUAUGAUAAAAAUAUGUCCUAAAUAGGGAUAUAUGUUGAUUAUGUUCCACAUCAGUUUCCCCCGCUCCCACCCACCCAACAUAGAGAGCCUAAAAAAAGGAAGCAUUUAACAGAGUUUGGCUUCUUAAGAAUGCUUUUACUUCUAACUAAUCUCACCUCUUUGGUGAAAGAUGUGACUAUGAGUUUACAUGAAAUGUAUUGGAGAUUCAAAAAGGAAAUAGUGAGGGAUUUUUUUUAGGAAGAUAAGUGUUUGCUUUACUUGUCUACCCACUUAAGUUCACUAAAAAAAAUAAAAAUAGUACCACAAGAUAAAGGGAUUAACAGUUUAUAUGCUCCCAAAAAUAAAUAAAGGUAUCAAGUGAGGCCACUCAGCAUUUCUAACCUACAAUUCAUCAAAAUAUCUUAAUAGAUCUGAAAUAGAGAAUCGGUUUUAAUACUGGCAUUAUAAUUUCUAGAAAAAAAUGUACAUGCGCCUGUUCAAUGUACCUGCUAAAGAAUGAAGCAACAUCAUGUCUCAGAGUUGAGGCAUUUAGCGAAAACCACUGCAAUCCUUGAUACCUGAAAGACAGAAGUAUUGAACAUUCAGAUCUUUGAAUUACCCAGGGAAUGCCAUGUGCAUAUUCAUUCAAUUCACCUAUUCGGUUAAUAUAUUCUUAUUUACUGGAAAAUAUAUUAUUGAAUAUCAGAAAGACGAUAAAGUUCUUGGGAUAACCACAACAUGACAAUUCCCCAUCUAGUGAAGGUUCAAAAUCAUAUUUCUCAAAUGGACCAUCUUUUCGGCUUCCUUGCGGAGUAAACUGUGUUAUCAACUCUAUCAACCUCAACAAGAGGUUGAAGAAGAAGAUUAUUGUCUUACACUAGUUUAAAGAAUGUUUCUAACGCCUGGAUAGCUAAUAAUAAUGUUAUACAAUUUAAACCAGAUAGCUAAUAUAUUGUUAUACAAUCCAACCAGCAUUAGCUAACAAAGUGGUAGCUUAACAAUCGUAAAUAAUUGGCUGGACGAUGUGAAGGUUAAAAGAAUCUUUGUCAGUAUAUUAUAGACUGAACUCAAAUUUGUCAACACGCUGUUUUCAGAAUUAAUACCUUCUCCAAUUUGAAGAGCUAAUCAGUAAAAGAAAGAAAUAAGGGAAACACCAUGUUUGGCCACACAAGUACAAAAUAAGUCAAAAGUGUUUUGGAGGUAGCAUGAAGAGCUGGAGGGCAUGUAAAACAGGGGAUAAGAUAGUAGGGUGAAAAUGCAAUCUCAAAUGCACGCUUUGAUUUGGUUUGAGGUUACUAGUAUUAAUAAUUUGAG